UGAGUACGAGAUGCUACGGCAUCGAAGCAGUCUAUGUCAUACUUCCAAGAAAAGCUUGCACUGUCAUAAACAAAGAAUGCCUGUACCAUAACCGACACAGGUGGGUAGGUAGAGUAUACUAAGGGGCGCGAGAUAACUCUCUCUAAGGAACUCGGCAAAAUGACUCCGUAACUUCGGGAGAAGGAGUGCCUUAUUUCUAAGGUUGCAAUAACAAGAUCCAAGCAACUGUUUACCAAAAACACAGGUCUCCGCUAAGUCGUAAGACGAUGUAUGGGGGCUGACGCCUGCCCAGUGCCAGAAGGUUAAAGAAGUUGGUUAGCAUUAGCGAAGCUGAUAACUGAAGCCCUGGUGAACGGCGGCCGUAACGAUAACGGUCCUAAGGUAGCGAAAUUCCUUGUCGGGUAAGUUCCGACCCGCACGAAAGGCGUAAUGAUUUGGAUACUGUCUCGGAGAGGGGCUCGGUGAAAUAGACUUGUCUGUGAAGAUGCGGACUACCUGCACCUGGACAGAAAGACCCUAUGAAGCUUUACUGUAACUUGAGAUUGAAAUUGGACUUUAUUUGCGCAGUAUAGGUGGGAGGCGUUGAGAAUAAUCUUGCGGGAUUGUUGGAGCCAUCAGUGAGAUACCACUCUUGUAAUGUUAGAUUUCUAACUUUGUAUCAUUAUCUGGUCAAAGAACAGUUUCAGGCGGGCAGUUUGACUGGGGCGGUCGCCUCCCAAAGGGUAACGGAGGCGCACAAAGGUUUCCUCUGAACGGGUAGAAAUCGUAUCUAGAGUGUAAAGGCAUAAGGAAGCUUGACUGUGAGACCUACAAGUCGAGCAGGGACGAAAGUCGGUCUUAGUGAUCUGACGGUGCUGAGUGGAAAGGCCGUCACUCAACGGAUAAAAGUUACUCUAGGAUAACAGGCUGAUCUCCCCCAAGAGUUCACAUCGACGGGGAGGUUUGGCACCUCGAUGUCGGCUCAUCGCAUCCUGGGGCGGUAGUCCGUCCCAAGGGUUGGGCUGUUCGCCCAUGAAAGCGGUACGCGAGCUGGGUUCAGAACGUCGUGAGACAGUUCGGUCCAUAUCCGGUGUAGGCGUUAGAAUAUUGAGAGGAGCCUUCUCUAGUACGAGAGGACCGAGAAGGACAUACCUCUGGUGUACCAGUUAUCGUGCCAACGGUAAACGCUGGGUAGCUAUGUAUGGAGUGGAUAACCGCUGAAAGCAUCUAAGUGGGAAGCCCACCUCAAGAUAAGUAUUCUC
Molecule: ribosomal RNA, 1241 nt
Filed under: metagenome
Description: bacterial LSU rRNA
Rfam family: Bacterial large subunit ribosomal RNA
Source: RNAcentral